UGGGGAAUAUUGCACAAUGGGGAAAACCCUGAUGCAGCGACGCCGCGUGAGUGAAGAAGUAUUUCGGUAUGUAAAGCUCUAUCAGCAGGGAAGAAGAAAGACGGUACCUGACUAAGAAGCCCCGGCUAACUACGUGCC
RNAcentral lists this ribosomal RNA (138 nucleotides) under uncultured bacterium. Its description in RNAcentral is "partial 16S ribosomal RNA". It matches the Rfam family "Bacterial small subunit ribosomal RNA", at positions 355 to 509 of the family's 1533-position model. The record is from RNAcentral.